CCCAGGCCGCCGCGGUGCGCACCGGCGGUGUUAACGCUUAUGCGGAGCAGAAAUAUAGCGGUUUGCGGUUCUUACACUGGUGCACCGGGCUCAAGUCAGGAAUGCGGUGAGCAGUACGCGCACGCCUGGUGAGGGCCGAGCUCCGGAUGGAGGGCAGGUGAGACGGAAGGUCCUCGAAUCAAAAGCCGGAGCACCUUCCCAAGAAUCACCCGGAGCCCUGCACCCAAGGUCCAGGCCCUCAGCCUCUUUCCAGCCCCCAAACUGCCCCUUUCCUGCCUGUUAUAGUCUGACAUCCUCAUAUCUCUACCCCUGUGAGACCCUUGAGACGGUGGGGAUGGGGGACGUUUGAGUGUCUGAACCUGUUAGCUGAAGCGUGGUCAUCGGGUUCAAUCGUCAGUCAUUUCCUAGGGCUUCCUGCAUGCCAGGUCCUAUCCUCUGGGCGUACCAGGCCUGCCUGGAGAGAUAAGGAUGGCAAAGCUUGAUGUGGAGGAGGCAGAUGACCGGGGCUACAGGGGUCCAGAGGUGACAGGUGCUGCUAACCAGGGUAUGGAGUGGGGGUAAGGGAGCGGCACUGGACUUAAUAAGGAAUCAGCAGUGUGCCAGACACCCAUCCCCUGCACUUCCCUAUCACCAUCUCCAGUUCCUGGUCAGUAAAAUGGGGAUGAUAAUAGUGGUACGUGCGUCACAGUGUGUGUGAAAAUAAAUGAGUUAGUAGGGAAGUGUUUACUGGGGAAAAAAAGACAACACUUUUUUUGGUUUUUUCUUUCACUUCUCAUAACGGCAUGGCUCCCAUUUCUGGAACAUGUCUAAAAUUUCUUUUAAAGGAAGUCUUGAGUUGGGCAUUUCAAAACCUCAGACAAUCUACAGAGAGUCUACGGCAGUUCUCAGUUGAGGAAACCACCUGAUGCAUCCGACUCCUGCAUGAAGUAUGCUCCUGAGAGGCCACACCCCACCUGAGACUCUUCACUCCUCCAACCUCACCAACUCCCUGCCUUAGAACAGGAAAUAUCACCAUCGAGACUUUGUUGGCACCUCCUGUUCACAGAACAGCUGGACACAGGCCCCCAAGACAUGACUCAGAAUGGUACAGCAGAGGGGGACGCUGCUGUUAUUUCUGGGGGUGCAGUUGCUGCUGGUGGGGGCAUUCCUCUACCAGAACCACCACGGCUGCAGCCUCACCUUCUUCCUGCAUUUUAACCAAUGACAUCUGCAAAACCCCUAUUUCCAAACAAGAUCACCUACUGAAGUUCCAGGUGAACAACACCGCCUUCAACCCGGGCAAGCUGUGCAAUGUGGGGUUCUGGGAGGCCAUGCAGGAGGACGACUGGGACUGUGUCUUUUUCCAUGAUGUGAACCUGCUCCCAGAGGAUGACCACAACCUCUACAUCUGCGACAUCUUCCCUGCCCCUGUUCCAUGGCCAUCGACAAGUUCAACUACAAGCUGCCCUACCAAGGCUACCGUGGAGGGGUGUUUGCCCUGUGCCCCAUUCACUACCUGAGGAUCAGUGGCUUCCCCAGCACCAGCUGGGGCUGGGGUCAGGAGGACAGUGACGUCACUGCCAGAUCUCCCUCUGUUGGGUCAGCUUGUUCCCACAGUUCUUCUAAAAUGCAACACCAUGAACCAUCUCUUAUGACUCCACCCAUCAUCUCAUUGUGAAAUGAAGCUUCUUCAGAAAUCUCCCGUUGUCGGGUUUCAAGCCCAAACUCCCCUUCUAGAAGGAGAACAAGAUGAAAUAGAUUCAGUGAACAAUUAGCAAAGGAUAGAAGAGAAGUCACAUGGAGCUGAUUGAGAUUGUGCAUGGGGAAACUGCUGAGUCAUAUACCAGUGGUAGUGCUGAUGGUGAUCAUGAGAGAAAACAGUCACACAGCCCUUACUAUAUGUCAAGCACGUAUCUGUAUAGCGCUUAGCAUUUGCUAGGCAGUGUUCUAUGUGAUGCACACGUAAGCUCAUUCAAUCCUCACAACCAUCCCAGGAGGUAACUACUUAUUAUCCUGGCUUUCUACAUGAAGCAAAGGAAAUAGAAUGGUUAAAUAAUUAGCCAAAAUCACUUUGCUCAGCCACGGGGAAAGUUAAGAUUUUAACAAAGGCAACCCGACUCCACUCACACAGGUGAUCUAGAUACCCAGACCUAGUAGAAUGACUACAGGAUAAAAGAGACAAGAGUGUCAUAGGGCAGCAUCUGUGCAUAGCCACAGCUUGAAGGAGGGGUUCAGAGUGCAGAGCUCUCUCUCGACUUACAAUGGGGUUAUGUCCUGAUAAGUCCAUCGUAAGUUUAAAAUAUCAUAAAUCAGAAGUGAACUGAAUACACCUAACCUACUGAACAAAGCUUAACCCAGCCUACUUUAAAUGUGCUUAGAAGACUUAUGUUACCCUAAGGUUCAGCAAAAGCAUCUUUUAUGUUACCCUAAGGUUCAGCAAAAGCAUCUAACAAAAGACCUGUUUUAUAAUAAAGUAUUGAAUAUUUCACACAAUUUAUCGAAUAUUGUACUGAAAGUGAAAAAUAGAGUGGUUAUCUGGGUACAGAAAGGUAGUAAGUGUAUUGGUUGUUUCCCUUUAUGAUCAUAUGGCUGACUGGGAGCCUGGCAUCAUGAGAGUAUAGUACCAUGUAUCGCUAGCCUGGGAAAAGAUCAAAAUUUACAAUUCAAAGUAUAGUUUGUACUAAAUGUGUAUGACUUUCAUAACACUGUAAAGUUGAAAAAUCGUAAAUUGAACCAUCACAAGUCAGGGACCAUCUGUAUAGGUUUAUGUUAAAGAUCUACAUUGUGAUUAAUCUCCCAGCUUCCUCCUACUCAUUGGAAACAAUACCAAAAUCAUUCAGCCCUAGAUAUCCUCUGAUAGACUAUUAAAGCAUUAAUCCUGACAUGGCCAAGCAGUGAAAGAAUACCUAUACUCAAACUCACAAUUCUAUGAAACUGAAGUUUGUUUCCCUGAACUUAGGAAUGUACAUAUCCCAAGAAGGGAAAACUAGAAGACUGGACAAGCAUGCGGUCCCCUAGAAUCUGUAACACCCUCUUACACAGAGGUUAACUGUGGCCAGGCACAUGGCAGCCAAGCCACGUAAUGACUCACAAUUUCCUUUGCAGUGAUGUGUGACGGUGAGACUGUUCUUGCUAACAGAAUGGGCAUACAGCAUUAUGCACUGCUUCUAGCCAGAGUAAUACAUCACAACUUCUCAGUAUCCUCCACCCCUUUUCUGCCUAGUAGAACCUGGCUUUGGUUGCAAUGCACUCAAUCCUGAAGAUUGACAGCAUCAUAAAAGAUGGUACUACAAUGACAAGAGAAAAACUUCAACACCUGAAUGAAUACAAAACGUAAGGCUUCCUGCUGACCUGACUUUUAUAAGUGUUUUAUAGGGAGAAAAUUAUUCUGGAAAUUAUUAUACUGGAUCUUGGUCUCUUUGUUAUAACUUUCAGCCUAAUGCUACUCAAUAUACCAUUUUUUUGUUAAGAACAGAAGUCACUGAUCAUCUAGUUUACUAGUAAGAACAUAAGACAAAACAGAGUCUUUAAAAAAAGGUGGCUGAAUUUUACUAUUACUUUAUCCUAUCAGAGAUUUAAACACUGAGUAUGGUUAAGACCAUCAUGUCUUGUUUUCCUUUCUCUUUCAAUCACUUGGAUAAACUAUCCUAGACCCUUGUCCUGUUCCCAAACCUCAGUCAUCUAUCACUUUUUAAAAAAUGAGAAUGAUCUUUAUUUUUACUAUUUUUAGUAAUAAUUUAGUAAUAAUUUUAUUUCUUAUCUUACUAUUUUUACUAUUUAUAUAUAGCAUUAAAAUCUGAGAAAAAGAAAUCAAUCUUUGGGGUAAUUUAUCAAUGUCAUCUUGACUGAACUCAUGAUGACUGGGAAUCCACAAAUCCCAUUAGGAACAAAAUAACCCAAGCAUGAGAAAAUAGCUGGUUUAUGGUGAUACCCCUGGAAUUAAGAAAAAGAGUCAACUUAACUGCUUUUAAAAAGAAAAUAUAGUAGAAUUUCUAAAAUAACAAGUUAGAAGACUAAGAUGGGAGAGCCAAGAAACAGAAGAAUCUUCUGGACAAAACGUAUAAGGCGAGAAGAAUUUCUGAUAUGCAUAGUUGUAGUUUCCUGGAGUUUGGAAACUU
Non-coding RNA from Odocoileus virginianus texanus, 4097 nucleotides. The record is from RefSeq and is a predicted model, not a curated record. NCBI's taxonomy places the organism in Eukaryota, Metazoa, Chordata, Mammalia, Artiodactyla, Cervidae.